RNAcentral lists this ribosomal RNA (305 nucleotides) under uncultured bacterium. Its description in RNAcentral is "bacterial SSU rRNA". It matches the Rfam family "Bacterial small subunit ribosomal RNA", at positions 334 to 632 of the family's 1533-position model. The record is from RNAcentral.
GUGACCUACGGGGGGCCGCCGUCGGGCCUUUUCGUCCCUGGGCGCCCGCCUGAACGAGCAAUGCCGCGUGAACGAGGAAGGUCUUCGGAUCGUAAAGUUCUGUUGAAGGGGAAAAAGAGCGGAGAGAGGAAAUGCUUUCUGAUUGAUAUUACCCUUCGAGGAAGUCACGGCUAACUACGUGCCAGCAGCCGCGGUAAUACGUAGGUGGCGAGCGUUAUCCGGAAUGAUUGGGCGUAAAGGGUGCGUAGGCGGCCUGCUAAGUCUGGAGUGAAAGGUACCGGCUCAACCGGUACAGGCUCUGGAAA